Long non-coding RNA from Dermochelys coriacea (leatherback sea turtle), 641 nucleotides. RefSeq lists it as uncharacterized. The record is from RefSeq and is a predicted model, not a curated record. The transcript is spliced from 3 exons. Lineage: Eukaryota; Metazoa; Chordata; Testudines; Dermochelyidae.
AAGAACAGGAACAGAACUAGGAGGCUCCAGGUAUGCAGUUUCUUUGUCUUGUUCUCUUGCAGUUGGCUUAGAUCAGCUCUGUCAGACAGGUGCCCUAGGGCAAGGUUAUGCUAAUAACAGCAUCAGAGGAAGAGGAAGACGAUGAGUUUGGCAAGACUAGGUACCACAUCCUGGGAUGUAGGGAAGAGCUGAACGCUGAAAGAGAGUCCCCCUUCUCUAGUCUGAACCAAAUGAAAAUGAAGGAUUGCAAGAAAGAACUUCAUAAAUGAAGUAACAGGAAAAGAAACAUGGCAGGAGAAAAAAACCUUAUCUGGAGGUGUAUAUCAAAGGUUUGCUUGAGUGUAUUUUGGGGACAAAGGGGAUGCCCAGGAACCAUUCACUGAGGGAGUAAAAGGACAGUGCUCUUGCUUCAUGAAAAUAGGAUCUCAGCCAGGCUGGGUUGAAAACACUGGAGAACUUUGGGUGAGAUCAGCUUCUUUAGACAAAAGAGUAACAUGUUUGUUAAGCUUAGUCUCAUGAAAAGGUGUUAUGAUUUUGUUUUACAUGUAACCAUUUGUUUCCAAUAUUCUUACUCAUUAGCACUUGAAUCUCUAUUCUUUAAUAUUAAACUUAUUCUUGUUUCACUAUAAAUAUAUCUAAGU